CGGCGGCGUGCCUAAUACAUGCAAGUCGAACGAACUCUGGUAUUGAUUGGUGCUUGCAUCAUGAUUUACAUUUGAGUGAGUGGCGAACUGGUGAGUAACACGUGGGAAACCUGCCCAGAAGCGGGGGAUAACACCUGGAAACAGAUGCUAAUACCGCAUAACAACUUGGACCGCAUGGUCCGAGUUUGAAAGAUGGCUUCGGCUAUCACUUUUGGAUGGUCCCGCGGCGUAUUAGCUAGAUGGUGGGGUAACGGCUCACCAUGGCAAUGAUACGUAGCCGACCUGAGAGGGUAAUCGGCCACAUUGGGACUGAGACACGGCCCAAACUCCUACGGGAGGCAGCAGUAGGGAAUCUUCCACAAUGGACGAAAGUCUGAUGGAGCAACGCCGCGUGAGUGAAGAAGGGUUUCGGCUCGUAAAACUCUGUUGUUAAAGAAGAACAUAUCUGAGAGUAACUGUUCAGGUAUUGACGGUAUUUAACCAGAAAGCCACGGCUAACUACGUGCCAGCAGCCGCGGUAAUACGUAGGUGGCAAGCGUUGUCCGGAUUUAUUGGGCGUAAAGCGAGCGCAGGCGGUUUUUUAAGUCUGAUGUGAAAGCCUUCGGCUCAACCGAAGAAGUGCAUCGGAAACUGGGAAACUUGAGUGCAGAAGAGGACAGUGGAACUCCAUGUGUAGCGGUGAAAUGCGUAGAUAUAUGGAAGAACACCAGUGGCGAAGGCGGCUGUCUGGUCUGUAACUGACGCUGAGGCUCGAAAGUAUGGGUAGCAAACAGGAUUAGAUACCCUGGUAGUCCAUACCGUAAACGAUGAAUGCUAAGUGUUGGAGGGUUUCCGCCCUUCAGUGCUGCAGCUAACGCAUUAAGCAUUCCGCCUGGGGAGUACGGCCGCAAGGCUGAAACUCAAAGGAAUUGACGGGGGCCCGCACAAGCGGUGGAGCAUGUGGUUUAAUUCGAAGCUACGCGAAGAACCUUACCAGGUCUUGACAUACUAUGCAAAUCUAAGAGAUUAGACGUUCCCUUCGGGGACAUGGAUACAGGUGGUGCAUGGUUGUCGUCAGCUCGUGUCGUGAGAUGUUGGGUUAAGUCCCGCAACGAGCGCAACCCUUAUUAUCAGUUGCCAGCAUUAAGUUGGGCACUCUGGUGAGACUGCCGGUGACAAACCGGAGGAAGGUGGGGGAUGACGUCAAAUCAUCAUGCCCCUUAUGACCUGGGCUACACACGUGCUACAAUGGAUGGUACAACGAGUUGCGAACUCGCGAGAGUAAGCUAAUCUCUUAAAGCCAUUCUCAGUUCGGAUUGUAGGCUGCAACUCGCCUACAUGAAGUCGGAAUCGCUAGUAAUCGCGGAUCAGCAUGCCGCGGUGAAUACGUUCCCGGGCCUUGUACACACCGCCCGUCACACCAUGAAGAGUUUGUAACACCCAAAGUCGGUGGGGUAACCUUUUAGGAACCAGCCGCCUAAGGUGGGACAGAUGAUUAGGUGAUAAACCCAGGGGGAAGCAAAA
RNAcentral lists this ribosomal RNA (1503 nucleotides) under Lactiplantibacillus plantarum. Its description in RNAcentral is "bacterial SSU rRNA". It matches the Rfam family "Bacterial small subunit ribosomal RNA". Lineage: Bacteria; Bacillati; Bacillota; Bacilli; Lactobacillales; Lactobacillaceae. The record is from RNAcentral.